CGACAUCGUUAAAAUUAUUGUUUGUCAAAAAUAAUGUCUGAAAAUUAAAUUUAUUGCUUGGUUCUCUAUUUUAAACUCUGGACACUUUUCCUGAUAAUUAUAAAGAUAUGAUAGUUACAAAAAUUGUAAGACGUCGGAAGGAAAAUAAUUACUCAUCAAUUAAUCAUUAAUCGUUCGAUUAUUAAUCGCGAGGGUAAUCAAAAUUUGGUGGCUCGAAACGAUUUGAACGCGCAACGAGCAAACACGAUGUUUCGUUCGAUAGUCGAAAGAUUCCUUCCAAUUCUUUUCUCACUGUUCCCUACCUCGAUCGUACCUUUACGAAACACGGGAUUCUACUCAGCUCGCGAGACGAAGCGAACAAACGGCAGGAAAUUUUCUUAUCUUUGCCGCGUGCUUGCUCGCGUGUACUUGGCGAACGGUGUGAAAUUCAAUUAGGGAACGAAGGAUUCCGCGAGGAUCUCUCCAGUGUUAACAUCUCGAUAAUGGAAUUCCACGCGAACGCGAGAGGAAGGAAGGGGGAAUUUGCAGACUGAAUCUUCGAUUUCUGAUUUCUGCUCUGACAAUAAGUCUGUAGAAGCAAAGAACGAAGUAUCGGUAAGAAGUAGCUCGAGUCGAGUUCGUAAAAUUUUCGGCGCAUCGUCGAUAGAGUUAGAGCUACCGGAUCGCUGAGAUAAAUAAAUGAAACCGGAAAAACGGCGAGUUGGCAGCUUCCGCCGCAGCUUCGUCAUCCGAGUCCACCGCGGCAGCCAUUUUCUCGUUCACGUUGAAACUAGUGGCGAUUCAGAACGACGAGCAAGCAAUAAUAAACGAUAAUUGUGUGUGUGUGUGUGUGUGUGUGUCUGUGAACGCGUGUAUGUACGUGCGUAUGUGUGUGUGUGAUAAAUAAAGAAAGCAAACUGUCUCGAAGUCGUCGCGAGGUAGUCGUUCAUAAUCGUUCGUAUAAUGCUAAGAGCGCGGAAGAUCGUAAAACGAGUAAAGAGAAAAAGAGAGCGAGAGAGAGAGAGAGAGAGAGAGAGAAAGAGGAACAAAACGAAACGAAGUGAAGUAACAUGUUUCGCGAGCACGAAUGUACACAAAAGUUUCGCGAAUACGAUGCGUCGCGAAAAGAAAUCCGGGGGGAGACAGACUGUCGUCCCUUUGUUCUUUGUCUGUCUUUCCUUUUCUUCGUUCUCUUUUUUCUGUUUCGCUCCUUUUCCUUUUUCUUUUUUUUUUUUCUUUUUUUUUUUUUUUUUUUUUUUUUUUUUUUUUUUAUUCUUUGCGACAGUCGAGCAGAUCUCCAAGGACAAAACAUACUUUCUAGCGUAGGUAUAUUAAAUGUGUCGCAAUAAAUACGUUAUACGAGGGACGAAGGUUACGAGAUGGCGGUUGAAAGUUUCGUAACGCAGAGGGAGCGUUAGAGAGAGAGGGUGUUUGGAGGGAGUCACGCGUCGAGAAGAAUAAAGUUUCAUCACCAUUAAAUUUACGCGGAAUCAAAGUUCAACGGGUAUGGCGGGAACGUCGGGUAGCGGGAGAAUUACGUCGUUUGAAUUAUGUUUUUUAACGAGUUCGCGCCGUCGUUGCCGCGGCAAGUAAUAACGCGGUCGCGUGACAAAUCGACCGAGCGACUAUCUUAUCUCAUCUCACCGAGAGAUGCCAUCCUUUGAUCAAGGUUGAAACUUUUCAAUGAUACACUUGAAAAAACAAAGUGGCCAGACUGCAGACGUUCGUGCAAAUAAAGCGUUGAAAAAGGGAAAUAGCGUUUCGUCUUGCACAGUGAUAAAUGAAAUUCAUAAACAACGUACAGUCCGCAGUCUAGAUGCAACAAAGCUAAUUCCCAAGCUCUCUGUAUUAUCCUAGAAGCUUCCAAUUAUUCUUCUUCCCCCCCCCCCUCCCCCCUCCCUUUAUACCAAAGCCAGAGAAGGAUUACUUUUAAUUGGAUUUUCACUUCCUUGCCGAUUAGAAUCUUCCUUGCCGCAGAAGAAAAAAAAAAAAAAAUUGACGCCACGCGUACUCUCAUUCGAGCGCUGCAAAACUGAUUGUUAAUUACAGUUAAUUGGACAGUGUCCACUUGAUGCGCAUACACCAACGAGGAGAAUUAAUACUGAAAGGCAGCCGAAAGGAGGACAAGCACCGCUGUUGUGCCUUUUCAUCUUUUCACCGACGAG
This is a long non-coding RNA of Frieseomelitta varia, 2144 nucleotides long. RefSeq lists it as uncharacterized. The transcript is spliced from 2 exons. Lineage: Eukaryota; Metazoa; Arthropoda; Insecta; Hymenoptera; Apidae. The record is from RefSeq and is a predicted model, not a curated record.